Molecule: unclassified non-coding RNA, 320 nt
Filed under: uncultured fungus
Lineage: Eukaryota; Fungi
Description: partial contains 5.8S ribosomal RNA and internal transcribed spacer 2
Rfam family: 5.8S ribosomal RNA (bases 1-133)
Source: RNAcentral
UGGUUCUGGCAUCGAUGAAGAACGCAGCGAAAUGCGAUAAGUAAUGUGAAUUGCAGAAUUUAGUGAAUCAUCGAAUCUUUGAACGCACAUUGCGCCCUCUGGUAUUCCGGGGGGCAUGCCUGUUCGAGCGUCAUUACAACCCUCAAGCCUAGCUUGGUAAUGGGCCUUCGUCCCCUGGACGGGCCUGAAAAUUAGUGGCAAUACUCUCCAGCUUCAAGCGUAGUAAAUCUAUCUUUGUCUUGAUGGUUGGCUGGUGUGUUGGCCAAGUAAACCCAUUUUUUUUUUCAGUUGACCUCGAAUCAGGUAGGGAUACCCGCUGA